This 253-nucleotide ribosomal RNA is filed under the name uncultured bacterium. RNAcentral describes it as "partial 16S ribosomal RNA". It matches the Rfam family "Bacterial small subunit ribosomal RNA", at positions 524 to 776 of the family's 1533-position model. The record is from RNAcentral.
GACAGAGGCCCCAAGCGUUAGGCGGAAUCACUGGGCUUAAAGCGUGUGUAGGCGGACGCCUAAGUGUCUUGUGAAAUCCCACGGCUCACCCGUGGAACUGCUGGGCAUACUGCGGGUCUUGGGCCAACUAGGGGCAGCCGGAACAAGCGGUGGAGCGGUGAAAUGCGUAGAUAUCGCUUGGAACGCCGAAGGUGAAAACAGGUCGCUGGGGAUGUGCCGACGCUGAGACACGAAAGCCAGGGGAGCAAACGGG